AGUGAACGCUGGCGGUAGGCCUAACACAUGCAAGUCGAACGGCAGCACAGGAGAGCUUGCUCUCUGGGUGGCGAGUGGCGGACAGGUGAGGAAUACAUCGGAAUCUGCCCAGUCGUGGGGGAUAACGUAGGGAAACUUACGCUAAUACCGCAUACGACCUUCGGGUGAAAGAGGGGGAUCGCAAGACCUCUCGCGAUUGGAUGAGCCGAUGUCGGAUUAGCUAGUUGGCGGGGUAAUGGCCCACCAAGGCGACGAUCCGUAGCUGGUCUGAGAGGAUGAUCAGCCACACUGGAACUGAGACACGGUCCAGACUCCUACGGGAGGCAGCAGUGGGGAAUAUUGGACAAUGGGCGCAAGCCUGAUCCAGCCAUACCGCGUGGGUGAAGAAGGCCUUCGGGUUGUAAAGCCCUUUUGUUGGGAAAGAAAUCUUUCAGGCUAAUACCCUGGGAGGAUGACGGUACCCAAAGAAUAAGCACCGGCUAACUUCGUG
This 490-nucleotide ribosomal RNA is filed under the name uncultured bacterium. RNAcentral describes it as "partial 16S ribosomal RNA". It matches the Rfam family "Bacterial small subunit ribosomal RNA", at positions 29 to 507 of the family's 1533-position model. The record is from RNAcentral.